AUUGAACGCUGGCGGCAGGCCUAACACAUGCAAGUCGAGCGGAUGAAGGGAGCUUGCUCCUGGAUUCCGCGGCGGACGGGUGUGUAAUGCCUAGGAAUCUGCCUGGCAGUGGGGGAUAACGUCCGGAAACGGGCGCUAAUACCGCAUACGACCUGAGGGAGAAAGUGGGGGAUCUUCGGACCUCACGCUAUCAGAUGAGCCUAGGUCGGAUUAGCUAGCUGGUGGGGUAAAGGCCUACCUAGGCGACGAUCCGUAACUGGUCUGAGAGGAUGAUCAGUCACACUGGAACUGAGACACGGUCCAGACUCCUACGGGAGGCAGCAGUGGGGAAUAUUGGACAAUGGGCGAGAGCCUGAUCCAGCCAUGCCGCGUGUGUGAAGAAGGUCUUCGGAUUGUAAAGCACUUUAAGUUGGGAGGAAGGGCAGUAAGUUAAUACCUUGCUGUUUUGACGUUACCAACAGAAUAAGCACCGGCUAACUACGUG
RNAcentral lists this ribosomal RNA (484 nucleotides) under uncultured bacterium. Its description in RNAcentral is "partial 16S ribosomal RNA". It matches the Rfam family "Bacterial small subunit ribosomal RNA", at positions 30 to 507 of the family's 1533-position model. The record is from RNAcentral.